CCUCAAUUAGUUUACCGGCUAAACGUUCAAUUGCUACUUGACUUAAAUCGGUUCGAUUCCGACGCAUCCAG
This 71-nucleotide transfer RNA is filed under the name Clathrina clathrus. Its description in RNAcentral is "tRNA-Ser". Lineage: Eukaryota; Metazoa; Porifera; Calcarea; Clathrinida; Clathrinidae. The record is from RNAcentral.